UACCCUUUUCUUUAGCUACCAUCGUCUUUUAAUCAUUUAUCUUCUUGUAUUCAUUAUAAUGCUGUGCUUGAAUGGUUUCUCAUCAGUCUCUGAUAGCAAGCAGGAAGUUAUCUCUUCAAGUCAAAUCACACGGGAAAGAAUACAAAGCAAUACGUGCUUUAAGAAGUGCUUUCGAGACAACAUCAACAACCUGCUAGGACCAUGUGGAACCCCUGCAGUCGCCGAUAGUACGUACUUCCUGAUUGGUGCAUUUCUGCCUAACUUGAGCACACUUAACAGGCAAAUUCUCGCUCUGCGGACGAGGUGUACAUUGAAGUAGCGUAUACCACCAGCCCGAUCCCGAUUUGAGAACCGAAAGGGUGCAUUCAUACACCCCCUCCACCAUUUCUGCACCCCUAUCCGCCAAGUGGAAAGGUUUAUUCUGUUUAACGGCCUACUUUGGAAAGAAACCCUGAAAACAGAGGGAAAAUAAGAAUCCUUUCCCCCAAUCGACAUCUUUAAUUAACAGGUAAGAAACUAUCAGUAGAUGUUAUACUGACAUAAAUUACUGGAAUUAUCGUCCAGAAUUUCUAGUCAUUAUGCAUACAUGUGAUUUGAUAUGAAGGGAAUAGAUUCUUGAAUGGAUAUCUAAAUUGCAUUUGAAUUUUAAAAAAAUGACACGUAAAAUAUGCUGAAUCUAUUCAUUUUUUUCUCAGUAAUGUCAACUUUGUUAAAAGAAUCAUCAAUGUAUGAGUGUUUAAUUAAACUUUAGAAAUGCAUAAGUGAUUUAAAAAAUACUCUAUUUAUAUAAUUUCAACAUGAACCAGCCUAUAUACUUGAUAGUUUUUGAAUGAUUGUUUGAAUUAGUGUGUUAAGUGUAUAUGCUACAAGUUUGUACCCAAUAUAGUGUGAGUGUGUGGGUUAAAAAAAAAGACACGUAAAAUAUGCAGAAUCUAUCCAUUUUUUCUCAGUAAUGUCAACUUUGUGAAAAGAAUCAUCAAUGUAUGAAUGUUUAAUUAAACUUUAGAAAUGCAUAAAUGAUAAAAAAAAUACUCUAUUUAUAUAAUUUCAACAUGAACCAGCCUAUAUACUUUUCGUUAUAGUUUUUGAAUGAUUGUUUGAAUUAGUGUGUUAAGUGUAUAUGCUACAAGUUUGUACCCACAAAAUAGUGUGAGUGUGUGGGUUAAAAUGUGCGUGUGUAUUAUUUUUGUAUAUGGUGGAGUUUUCAAAACCUACAAUGGCACUACAAGUGUAUUUAUGACAAUCUAUUAGACUUAGAACUCUAGUGUAUUUAUAAGCCUGCUAUUACAUAUCUAUAUUGCUAUUAUACUUCAUUAUACUCAAAUGAGAUUGUUGAAUUUAACUAAAGGAAUUUAUUCUACAAACUUUGCUGAUUAAAAAUGAAUAAAAGAUUAUGUUUUCGUGUCUCACUUAUAUACACUCAUUCACUAAUCAUUUAGAAGAAAAAAAUGUAUAUGUAAUUGAAAUUAUAAGCAAUAAUUAGGGUACGCGAUUGUCAUUGCACUGCCGGCUCUUGCUUAAAUUCGGUAUGUAAGCGAAAUCAUCACGAGAGACGUUGCCUAUAUUUCCCUUAAAAGAAGAGAUGAUUAUGUUCUCAAGUAAAUGAUUAAAGAGUAAUCCUGUAAACACCUCAAGCAUAUUCAAAGAGAAAGAAUAAAAGUACUCGAUAUUAUUGCUCUACCGUCAUGACCGCCCUUUUUUCUUGAAUCAUCGUGGAUAACCCUCAAAGAAAAACUUUGCAUGUCAAUAUUAAUACAGUAAUCUUAAAUGUCUGAUUUCAAUUGUAAUGCCUACACGUGUCAAACUGUAUCAGUGGUAACGUCAAAUAUAUACGUGAUAACCACAAACUCCUUGUAAAAUACCCAUUUUUAUCAAGUCUUUAGAGUACAAUAUUGCUCUUGAUCAUCACCAUUAAUCAUAGUGAUAUAUGUAGUGAUUAUGACAUAUUGCCUCUUACCCUGUUCGUUAUAAGCCAUUGUCAGUCUAACCUGGUGGCUCGAUAAUUACUUUGUCAAUAGAAAAUGGCGUAAUCUCAGGAUUAUCCGACUAAGUGGAUUAUAACCUUUUGUGCACUUCGCUUUCCAAUAGAAUAUAACAUUUCACUUAUAAUAUCACGUUUAUUUUAGAAUAAGUGACAGAGUGGACUUGAAAAGUGCAUCGAGGAAACAGUAUUUCGUAUUCGUGGAUAUAGUCUUAGAUUAUUUUUACUCGGUGUAAAUCGUUUGCAUUACUCACGAUGCCAACAAGUGCGUAUACGGAGCAUCGACUUCGCGCAUAGUUAUGUGUGUAUCGUUUAUGGUUUAAUUUGUUAAUGGAUGGCAUUAAAAAGACAAAAAUUUACUAUAUUUCAGCUCUUAUAAUUUUUUAUUUGAGCUCAAAUAAAACUAGAGCGAUAAGAAUACUAUGAAUGCGCCGUUCUAGUAAAUUUCAUAUCAUGAGCUGGAGCAUUGUGGCCCAGUGGAUUAGUAUUCUGACUUUGAAACAGAUGGUCGUUGGUUCGAAUCCCAGCCAUGGCGUAAUUUCAUUCAGCAAGAAAUUUAUCCACAUUGUGCUGCACUCAACCCAGGUGCGGUGAAUGGGUACCCGGUAGGAAGAAAUUCCUUGAAUGCUUGAGGGCCUAGGCAGCCCACCUAAAGCUGGGGUAAUAAUAACUGCAGGGCCCGCUGGUAGAACAGUUUUCAGAACUGAAGUGGUUUCCCUCGGUAAAUUUACCUAUAUUAUCAUUAUUAUUAUUAAUAUGAGCUUAUGUCUUUCUUCAUAACAAUGAUUGGACAGUAAACAUGAUUAUAAUGUUUAACUGUGUAUACGUAUUGUAUUAUGUAGAACUUGCAAAAUAUCUAUAAUUAGAUAACAAAUUCAACCAAAACAGGUUAAACCGCAACUUUAUCAACGAAUGUGUGAGCAGCCACAUCUGAUGGUUGCAUAGUUACGUAACAAAGAAUAGGUGACGUCAAUUUGACUUAGAAACCAAGUGCAAUAUCUAGACCCACCCUACCCCGAAAAAGCCUUUCCUCGGUGAGAUUGCGCAAAAUUGAGGGGAAAAAAUCAGAAAUAUUUAUCUUACAACUAAUUAAUAAAAAUCAGUGAUCACAACCAAAUUCUGUAAAUUUGAAAAACGACCUGAAAUAAUUGCAGGUGAGGAUAUGAAGCCUUUGGCCUUAAAAUACAUUUUCAAGAGUGAUUUAAGUUCACCUGAUUUGAAUAUACAAAUAUUUCAUUUCUUGAUUUAGAUUCAUCCAAAAACGUAGUGUGUUAAAUCAAGUAGUACUCUAAAAUCUAUGAAAUUCAACGUUUAUGUUAUCAAAAGUAAAUUCGAAUAUGGAAUAUGAUACAAGACGAACCUAACCUUAUUUGGGCAAUUCCGUGAAAUAAUCAAACUUUUGUACUUUCGACCCCCAAGUUUUACUUCACUUCAUAAACUGACCAAGUCAUGGUCAUUUGAGAGCAUUACAGACUGUCAAAAUUCAAAUUCAAUUCGAACCAGAAAUCAGAGACAGAAAAUUUAAUGAACGUACAUGUGAUCAGACGUACAUAUCUUAUGGAAUUGCCUAUUAUGAGUUGAAAACCAAAAGUUUGAAUUUUGAAUUUUUAUAUCUCCGUGACCACGGUAGUUUCGAUUUGUUUUAAAUCUCUUAUAUUUGGAGUGUACAACUGAAUACAAAUUAAGAGAUCUUUGAAAUUAACAUAUUAUAUGUUUUAUGCUUUAUAAUGAUUAAUCUCCGUGC
Lytechinus pictus (painted urchin) is the source of this 3725-nucleotide long non-coding RNA. RefSeq lists it as uncharacterized. Lineage: Eukaryota; Metazoa; Echinodermata; Echinoidea; Temnopleuroida; Toxopneustidae. The record is from RefSeq and is a predicted model, not a curated record. The transcript has 3 exons.